Molecule: ribosomal RNA, 345 nt
Filed under: uncultured bacterium
Lineage: Bacteria
Description: partial 16S ribosomal RNA
Rfam family: Bacterial small subunit ribosomal RNA
Source: RNAcentral
CCUACGGGCGGCAGCAGUGAGGAAUAUUGGUCAAUGGACGAGAGUCUGAACCAGCCAAGUAGCGUGAAGGAUGACUGCCCUAUGGGUUGUAAACUUCUUUUAUAAAGGAAUAAAACGAGGCACGUGUGCCUUUUUGCAUGGACUUUAUGAAUAAGGAUCGGCUAACUCCGUGCCAGCAGCCGCGGUAAUACGGAGGAUCCGAGCGUUAGCCGGAGGUAUUGGGGUUACAGGGAGCGUAGAGGGGUUGUUAAGUCAGUUGUGAAAGUUUGCGGCUCAACCGUAAAAUUGCAUUUGUUACUGGCAGUCUUGAGUACAGUUGCGGUAGGCGGAAUUCGUGGUGUAGCG